Molecule: ribosomal RNA, 300 nt
Filed under: uncultured Marispirillum sp.
Lineage: Bacteria; Pseudomonadati; Pseudomonadota; Alphaproteobacteria; Rhodospirillales; Novispirillaceae
Description: partial 16S ribosomal RNA
Rfam family: Bacterial small subunit ribosomal RNA
Source: RNAcentral
GUGACGACCGUGCCAGGGGCCGGGGGAAUACGUUGCGGCCAACCGUUAUGCGGAAUUACUGGGCUUAAAGUGGUUGGAGGGGGGGCUGGUAGUCGGGUGUGAAAUCCCACGGCGCAACCGGGGAACUGCGUCGGAUACUGCAGUGGUUGAGGGAGACAGAGGUAAGCGGAACUGAUGGUGGAGCGGUGAAAUGCGUUGAUAUCAUCAGGAACACCGGUGGCGAAAGCGGCUUACUGGGUCUCUUCUGACGCUGAGAAACGAAAGCUAGGGUAGCGAAGGGGAUUAGAUACCCGAGUAGUC